UGAUAAGUUUUAUACUUCCUUUGCCAGCC
RNAcentral lists this non-coding RNA (29 nucleotides) under Mus musculus (house mouse). Lineage: Eukaryota; Metazoa; Chordata; Mammalia; Rodentia; Muridae. The record is from RNAcentral.